CUAGCUCGAAAUUUCAGAGACACACUUAUAUUAUACUAAGGUCCUGUUACCCCUGAACUUAUUUUAUAAGUAACUUUCUACCUCUUUUCGAUCUACGUGACAUUAACUUGGAAAAGAAAAGUCAACCAGCGUUGGAUCCACAAGAUAGUGUCACGUAGAUCGAAAUGAGAUAGAAAAUUAUUAAUAAAAUAAGUUCAGAGGUAAUAAAACCUUAAUAGUAUAAGUGUGUCUCUGAGAUUUCGGAUAUAGG
This 250-nucleotide microRNA precursor is filed under the name Solanum lycopersicum (tomato). Its description in RNAcentral is "miR7981e stem-loop (sly-MIR7981e)". The record is from miRBase by way of RNAcentral. Lineage: Eukaryota; Viridiplantae; Streptophyta; Magnoliopsida; Solanales; Solanaceae.